Molecule: ribosomal RNA, 464 nt
Filed under: uncultured bacterium
Lineage: Bacteria
Description: bacterial SSU rRNA
Rfam family: Bacterial small subunit ribosomal RNA
Source: RNAcentral
CCAGACUCCUACGGGAGGCAGCAGUGAGGAAUAUUGGUCAAUGGGCGCGAGCCUGAACCAGCCAAGUCGCGUGAGGGAUGACGGCCCUACGGGUUGUAAACCUCUUUUGCCGGGGAGCAAGGGCGGGGACGUGUCCCGGCCCGGAGAGUACCCGGAGAAAAAGCAUCGGCUAACUCCGUGCCAGCAGCCGCGGUAAUACGGAGGAUGCGAGCGUUAUCCGGAUUUAUUGGGUUUAAAGGGUGCGUAGGCGGGCUUUUAAGUCAGCGGUAAAAAUUCGGGGCUCAACCCCGUCCGGCCGUUGAAACUGAUGUUCUUGAGUGGGCGAGAAGUAUGCGGAAUGCGUGGUGUAGCGGUGAAAUGCAUAGAUAUCACGCAGAACUCCGAUUGCGAAGGCAGCAUACCGGCGCCCAACUGACGCUGAAGCACGAAAGCGUGGGUAUCGAACAGGAUUAGAUACCCUAGUA